AUUGAACGCUGGCGGCAUGCCUUACACAUGCAAGUCGAACGGCAGCACGGGUGCUUGCCCCUGGUGGCGAGUGGCGAACGGGUGAGUAAUACAUCGGAACAUGUCCUGUAGUGGGGGAUAGCCCGGCGAAAGCCGGAUUAAUACCGCAUACGAUCUACGGAUGAAAGCGGGGGACCUUCGGGCCUCGCGCUAUAGGGUUGGCCGAUGGCUGAUUAGCUAGUUGGUGGGGUAAAGGCCUACCAAGGCGACGAUCAGUAGCUGGUCUGAGAGGACGACCAGCCACAGGGGAACGGAACACGGCCCCGAACACCGCGGGAGGGAAGAGGGGGGGAAUUUUGGAGAAGGGGCGAGGGCCGAACCCAGCAAUGCGGGGUGUGUAAAGAGGGCCUUCGGGUGGGAAAGCAGUUUGGCCGGAAAAGAAGCCUUUGGCCCAAAUAGGGGCGGGGGAGGAGGGAACGGGAAGAAAAAGCCCCGGCAAACUACGGG
RNAcentral lists this ribosomal RNA (486 nucleotides) under uncultured bacterium. RNAcentral's name for it is "partial 16S ribosomal RNA". It matches the Rfam family "Bacterial small subunit ribosomal RNA", at positions 29 to 507 of the family's 1533-position model. The record is from RNAcentral.